Molecule: unclassified non-coding RNA, 707 nt
Filed under: Hevea brasiliensis (rubber tree)
Lineage: Eukaryota; Viridiplantae; Streptophyta; Magnoliopsida; Malpighiales; Euphorbiaceae
Source: RNAcentral
UGAGGCUAAGAAUGGGAUAUGCCCGGUUUGUGCAAAAAGGGUUGGAACGGAUUUGGUUGGUCAUAUUACUCAGCAACAUGGAAACAUUUUGAAGGUGCAGCGCAGGAGAAGAUUUCGAAGAGGUGGUACUUCAGCUCUCUCUAUUUUAAGAAGAGAGCUAAGGGAAGGGAGUUUGCAGUCCAUCCUGGGGGGAUCCUCUCGUUUGGUUUCUCCCUCCACUACAGAUCCAGAUCCAUUGUUAUCUUCAUUUAUUCACAAUACAACUUUGGCUAAUGAAAUUCCUGAUGUUCAACCUUUAUCUUCUAUUAAGCAAAGCUCAAAAAAAGAAAGCACUCUUGAGAACUCAUCUGAAAGAACUGUUGAGCGAUCUCCGCUAUCUGACAAAGACCAAGAGGAGAAGGCCAGGAAGAGUAAGUUUGUGCAAGGGCUACUGCUAUCUACCUUUCUUGAAGAUGACAUCUAAAUGCGAAGAGGAUAAUGUUAGCAUGGAUAGAGAAAGGAAGAGGAUGCUGCCAUUUUGUGUAGUAGUUAGGGGGGGAAGAGGAAACUCGUAAAAGUCCUACUUAUGUGUAUAAUAUUAAAGACUACACUAGUUUUCCAUCUUCAAUGUAGCAACAUGCUAAAAUACAUAUUCCAAUUUUAAUUGUGGGAAGCAACACGAAACAUAUGAGUGUAUAGCUAGUUUCACUAAAAUGAAGCAGCCAGCG